This 253-nucleotide ribosomal RNA is filed under the name uncultured bacterium. Its description in RNAcentral is "partial 16S ribosomal RNA". It matches the Rfam family "Bacterial small subunit ribosomal RNA", at positions 524 to 776 of the family's 1533-position model. The record is from RNAcentral.
UACGGAGGGUGCGAGCGUUGUUCGGAAUCACUGGGCGUAAAGGGCGUGUAGGCGGUCCGCUAAGUCUGAUGUGAAAGCCCGGGGCUCACCCCCGGAAGGGCAUUGGAAACUGACGGACUCGAGUCUCGAAGAGGAGGGUGGAAUUCCUGGUGUAGCGGUGAAAUGCGUAGAUAUCAGGAGGAACACCGGUGGCGAAGGCGGCCCUCUGGACGGUGACUGACGCUGAGACGCGAAAGCGUGGGGAGCAAACAGG